AGAGACAGCAGUCGCCCGGUAAUACGUAGGGUGCGAGCGUUAAUCGGAAUUACUGGGCGUAAAGCGUGCGCAGGCGGUUGUGUAAGACAGGUGUGAAAUCCCCGGGCUUAACCUGGGAACUGCGCUUGUGACUGCACAGCUAGAGUAUGGCAGAGGGGGGUGGAAUUCCACGUGUAGCAGUGAAAUGCGUAGAGAUGUGGAGGAACACCGAUGGCGAAGGCAGCCCCCUGGGCCAAUACUGACGCUCAUGCACGAAAGCGUGGGGAGCAAACAGGAUUAGAUACCCCCGUAGUCCCUGUCUCUUAUACA
This 309-nucleotide ribosomal RNA is filed under the name uncultured bacterium. RNAcentral describes it as "partial 16S ribosomal RNA". It matches the Rfam family "Bacterial small subunit ribosomal RNA", at positions 504 to 808 of the family's 1533-position model. The record is from RNAcentral.